AGAAUACAGACUACAUCAAACCUAAGGUAAAACUAUUAAACUUUUGCUAAAUUUAGAAUGAAUCUUUUUAAGAUCUUAAAAGAAUCACAGGGACAAUUGCGUGAUGAUUAUUUUGAUAAAUGUCAGGAUAUAUAAUUGAAGAAUUGGAUAAUUUAUUAGAAAGAAUGUUAGAAGAAAUAAAAAAUAUUAUAUCUCAAUUAAAAAAUAUAAAUUUACCAUUUGAAGAAUAUGACAUUUUAUUAAGAAAAUAUAAUAUGUAUGUUGCCCCUAGCUUAUACCAUUAGUUUUUUUAAGUAUGUUUAUGUCAAAUUUUGGAAAGCCGCAUUGUACAGCCUUAAAAGGGUUACUAAGAUACAUUGCUAGAACUUUAACCACUGGUUUGACAUUUGAAAAGAGGUUUGAAAUUCUAACUUGUGUAGGAUAUGUAGACUUCGCUGGAGAGAAAGAUCAUAGGAAGUCUACUAUUGUCUUCUUCUUUACAUUGUGGGGAAACUAUAUUACCUGGAAAUCUCAGUUACUACCCUAUGUAGCAUUGAGGCAGAACAUAUAGCCAUCACUGAAUCUAUAAAAGAGUACAUGUAGCUGAAAGGAAUCUUAACUGAGUUAAAUUUCUUACUAGAGAUCCCAAUAAUUAUUACUGAUAGCCAAAGUGCUUUAUUAUUGAGUAAGAAUCCCGUGUAUUAUGAGAGCUCAAACAUAUUGAGGUGAAAUAUCACUUCAUAGGAGAAAAUAUAUCUACUUGUGAAGUGAAUCUUAAGAAAAUUCACACUGAUGAAUACCCAUUUGAUGGGCACAUUAAUUUUACCUGUUAAUAAGUUUUGAUCAUGUUAAUUUAUUCUUCAUAUUGAUACAGGUUGAUUUCUCUUGCAAGUACUUUGGGCAAUGAUAUAGGGCCAAGUCCGUUUUAUGUGCAAUCUAGCAUACUAGAGACAGUAGAUAAUUUGAGAACCAAGGUGAAGAUUGUAAAAAACGUGUUUCUCAAAUCAAUACUUUAGUAAGGGCAAAAACAUCAUUUGGAUGUGGAAGGCCCAAGUGGCAACCCCCAAUUGGCUGUUGGUGCUUCACUCGAGUUGUGCUUCUUCAAACAUUAUCCUGGUCGUCCAUUUUUUGAUCACUGGUUGAGAACUAAUAUGAUACAAUUGGUUUGGCAUUUGAGGGGUCAUUUCAAAGGAUGGGAUGCAGUCUUGGUUUUCCAAGUUUUGGGGUUCUUCUAGAGACCUUGAUUCUUCUUCUAUUUUUGGUUUCUGUUUCUUAUGAUUUAACAUUAGAUCUUAAUCGAUCUGAAAGAACCCUGUGAAAUACAUCUUGCUAUAUUAAUUUUAGCCGAUUGUAAGGCUUGUGAUGUGUAUAUUUUGGUUUGGCAGUAGGGUUCUUGGUUUAUUGGUGAUUAAGGUGUGAUUUGUAAGAUCCUUUUGGUUCAAGGAUAAGAUCUAGUGUCUAAUUUUGGUCUCAGUGUAAUCUCUUUGUCUCUUGGAAGGUUAUUUUGCACAUAGUGAACAUGUUAGUCUAUUAGCUCCCUAGAUUAGGCUUUUUCACGGAACUGGGUGAACAAUGGUUUGUGUUUUUAGUGCUUUUGUGCGUG
RNAcentral lists this long non-coding RNA (1582 nucleotides) under Olea europaea subsp. europaea. The record is from RNAcentral. Lineage: Eukaryota; Viridiplantae; Streptophyta; Magnoliopsida; Lamiales; Oleaceae.